GACGAACGCUGGAGGCGUGAUUAACAAAUGCAAGUCGAAAGGAAAGGAAUACUUUAAAUUAUGAACUGAAGAAAAACGAAUAAAAAAAGAGUGAAUACCACGUGAGUACUAUGCCCCCAACUUGGGUAUAAGCCUGGGAAACUGGGUCUAAUUCCCGAUAGGACUGCAGGGUGGUGCCUGUGGUGGAAAACGAUUUUCUAGUGGUUGGGGAUGAGCUCGCGGCCUAUCAGCUUGUUGGUGGGGUAAUGGCCUACCAAGGCGGCGACGGGUAGCCGGCCUGAGAGGGUGGACGGCCACAUUGGGACUGAGAUACGGCCCAGACUCCUACGGGAGGCAGCAGUGGGGAAUAUUGCACAAUGGGCGGAAGCCUGAUGCAGCGACGCCGCGUGGGGGAUGACGGCCUUCGGGUUGUAAACUCCUUUCGACCGCGAGGAAGCCACCUGGUUGGAAGGGUGGUGACGGUAGUGGUAGAAGAAGCACCGGCUAACUACGUG
Molecule: ribosomal RNA, 494 nt
Filed under: uncultured bacterium
Lineage: Bacteria
Description: partial 16S ribosomal RNA
Rfam family: Bacterial small subunit ribosomal RNA
Source: RNAcentral